GACGAACGCUGGCGGCGUGCCUAAUACAUGCAAGUAGAACGCUGAAGGAAGGAGCUUGCUCUUUCUGGAUGAGUUGCGAACGGGUGAGUAACGCGUAGGUAACCUGCCUGGUAGCGGGGGAUGACUAUUGGAAACGAUAGCUAAUACCGCAUAAAAUUGAUUAUUGCAUGAUAGUCAAUUAAAAGGUGCAACUGCACCACUACCAGAUGGACCUGCGUUGUAUUAGCUAGUUGGUGGGGUAACGGCUCACCAAGGCGACGAUACAUAGCCGACCUGAGAGGGUGAUCGGCCACACUGGGACUGAGACACGGCCCAGACUCCUACGGGAGGCAGCAGUAGGGAAUCUUCGGCAAUGGACGGAAGUCUGACCGAGCAACGCCGCGUGAGUGAAGAAGGUUUUCGGAUCGUAAAGCUCUGUUGUAAGAGAAGAACGAGUGUGAGAGUGGAAAGUUCACACUGUGACGGUAUCUUACCAGAAAGGGACGGCUAACUACGUG
RNAcentral lists this ribosomal RNA (497 nucleotides) under uncultured bacterium. RNAcentral's name for it is "partial 16S ribosomal RNA". It matches the Rfam family "Bacterial small subunit ribosomal RNA", at positions 28 to 507 of the family's 1533-position model. The record is from RNAcentral.